UGUCGGGUUAUUUGACCAAUUGCACACAGAAUUCGGGACGACAUGUUUACACUGAUUUGUCUAGGCACAGUUCGUUGUAAGACUUAAAAAUUAAUUUA
This is a long non-coding RNA of Drosophila arizonae, 98 nucleotides long. NCBI's taxonomy places the organism in Eukaryota, Metazoa, Arthropoda, Insecta, Diptera, Drosophilidae. The record is from RefSeq and is a predicted model, not a curated record.